Molecule: transfer RNA, 69 nt
Filed under: Pseudanabaena sp. FACHB-2040
Lineage: Bacteria; Bacillati; Cyanobacteriota; Cyanophyceae; Pseudanabaenales; Pseudanabaenaceae
Description: tRNA-Leu
Rfam family: tRNA
About the family: Transfer RNA (tRNA) molecules are approximately 80 nucleotides in length. Their secondary structure includes four short double-helical elements and three loops (D, anti-codon, and T loops).
Source: RNAcentral
GCCUGAAGGGAUUCAAGGCUAGGAGGACUGAAAAUCCUCGUGUCGGCGGUUCAAGUCCGCCUCCUGGCA